Molecule: non-coding RNA, 687 nt
Organism: Pelodiscus sinensis (Chinese soft-shelled turtle)
Lineage: Eukaryota; Metazoa; Chordata; Testudines; Trionychidae
Source: RefSeq, a predicted model, not a curated record
CCAUCAAAUCCAGUAUUCUACUUCCAGAGGUAGAGAAUACCUGAAAUUUCAGAGGUGAGCAACCAGAAAAACAAACAGCCACAUACCAAUUUAAAUGUGGAAAGCUGUAUCACACAAAGAAGACUAUUCCUUUCCAACUUCUACAGGUGACCCACUUGCACAGUGAAGCAUGAAGCAAAAGAGAGUUAUGAAGAAAGAGAGAAAAAUGAAAUCCAAAGACCCAGGUAUCAGCAACAAUCCAGAUAUCAACAAGCAUCAUAUCACCUUUCUCAAAUGUUAUGUCUGAGCCUUGCUGGGAAGAGCUGUUAGAGCAAAUUCACAAUGGGCCCAACAUUUCCAUCAAGCAAAAUAGUAUUCGCAACACCUGACAAAUUGUGACACCAUCUUCAGAAUGAUUGAAUCAGAACAAUGCUCCAGCUGCAACAAUCAGCUGGAAGAGGGGUGGAAGAUGAUACUCAAUCAGACAAGGGCAUAAACAAGUCCCUGGUGUGGGGGAGGGACACAGCCAAAUCAAGGGCCUUUCUGUAGGGACUUUUUAGUUCAGGGCUACACGUUUCUGUAGCAGUGUCAGCAUGCAAGAAGGACUAGAAUUCUGACACACAGUUGUAUGAUCCUUCUGAGACAGCAGUGUGCUUGUGCUAUUGGACAAGAGUUAACUUCUUCUUCCCCACUUCAUCUCAGGGGUGG